This 61-nucleotide transfer RNA is filed under the name Cavia porcellus (domestic guinea pig). It matches the Rfam family "tRNA", at positions 6 to 65 of the family's 71-position model. From Rfam's summary of the family: Transfer RNA (tRNA) molecules are approximately 80 nucleotides in length. Their secondary structure includes four short double-helical elements and three loops (D, anti-codon, and T loops). The record is from Rfam by way of RNAcentral. Lineage: Eukaryota; Metazoa; Chordata; Mammalia; Rodentia; Caviidae.
UAUAGCUCAGCAGUACAGUGCCUGCCUGGCAAGCAGGAGAUCAUGAGUUUGAUUCCCAGUA